Molecule: ribosomal RNA, 775 nt
Filed under: uncultured Neocallimastigales
Lineage: Eukaryota; Fungi; Neocallimastigomycota; Neocallimastigomycetes; Neocallimastigales
Description: partial large subunit ribosomal RNA
Rfam family: Eukaryotic large subunit ribosomal RNA
Source: RNAcentral
GUACACGCUGUGACUAGCAUAUCAAUAAGCGGAGGAAAAGAAACUAACAAGGAUUCCCCUAGUAACGGCGAGUGAAGCGGGAAGAGCUCAAAUUUGAAAUCUUAAAGGGUUUCCCUUUACGAAUUGUAGUUUAAAGAAGUGUUUUCUGUUGAGGUUUUGGUAAAAGUUCUUUGGAAUAGGACAUCAUAGAGGGUGAGAAUCCCGUAUUUGACCUUUACUUUCAACUUUGUGAUACAUCUUUCAAAGAGUCGGAUUGUUUGGGAAUGCAGUCCAAAAUGGGUGGUAAAUUUCAUCUAAAGCUAAAUAUUGGCGGGAGACCGAUAGCGAACAAGUACCGUGAGGGAAAGAUGAAAAGAACUUUGAAAAGAGAGUUAAACAGUACGUGAAAUUGUCAAAAGGGAAGCGUUUGACACCAGUGUUGUUUUUCUGAAAAUCAAUUAAAGAACUGUUUAUGCUAAGUUGUUUAGACUUUAUCAGCUAACUGUUUAGUUUUGAGCUUUUCUUUAAUGCACUUUUCAGUUAACAAGUCAACAUCAAUUUCUUUUGCUGUAAAAAAGCUUGAGGAAGGUGGCUUGAGAUUCGUCUUAAGUGUUUAUAGCCUCUUGCCUAUGCAGUCGGAGAGAUUGAGGUCUGCAGCGUAGAUCCUUCGGGGCUAAAUGCAUUUGUGCUAAGUUAUAGCAUUUCAUAGACAACUUGUUGACUAUGAUUUGUCUUGUAGCUUACUCGCUUAUGUUAUUUUACCUACGCUUAGGAUGUUGACAGCAGUAUAGACUGU